UUAGACACUUCCGGUUAGACCCAUAAUUUUUCUUUAUUGUUCAUAUGGUUGCAUAAUUUCUGCUUCAGUUAGUGGUACUUCAUAGUUUCAUUUUUUAGCUUGUUCCAUUUUUCUGUGAAUGGUAUGAAAAGAAUCAAUAUUUAGACCCCACUGGGUAUGUUGUUGUUUUACUGUGAUUAUACACUGGUUAAUGUUUUUUUUUUCCAUAUUGGAUUAUUUAAAAAGAUGAUUGGCAGAGCAGAUGGGUGAAGUCUGACUGGAAAAGGAGUGAAGGGAAAGCAGGCUCCUUUAAGCAUACAGCUGGGAAAUGGGCUGGUGAUCCUGAUGAUAAAGGUAUUCAGACGUCAACCGAUGCCAAACAUUUCGCCAUCUCUGCUAAGAUACCAGAAUUUAGCAACAAGAAUAGAACAUUGGUUGUACAGUACUCUAUAAAGCUUGAGCAAGACAUUGAAUGUGGUGGAGGUUACAUAAAGCUUCUCUCUGGAUAUGUCAACCAGAAGAAGUUCGGGGGAGAUACUCCUUACAGUAUGAUGUUUGGACCGGAUAUCUGUGGUACACAGACGAAGAAACUUCAUGUUAUACUUUCCUACCAAGGCCAGAAUUAUCCAAUCAAAAAGGAUCUGCAAUGUGAGACAGACAAGUUAACCCAUUUCUACACAUUCAUUCUUAGACCUGAUGCAUCAUACAGCAUCUGGAUAGAUGGCCGAGAGAGGGAUUCUGGAAGCAUGUAUACAGACUGGGAUAUCUUUCCCCCUCGAAAAAUUAAAGAUGUAAAUGCGAAAAAGCCUGCAGAUUGGGAUGAUAGAGAAUAUAUAGAGGAUCCAAACGAGGUCAAACCAGAGGGAUAUGAAUCUAUUCCAAAAGAGAUCCCUAACCCAAAAGCUAAAAAGCCUGAUCACUGGGAUGAUGAAGAGGAUGGCAUCUGGAGACCACCAAAAAUUCCUAACCCAGCAUAUAAGGGUCCAUGGAAACGGAAGAAAGUGAAGAACCCUAACUAUAAAGGUAAAUGGAAGACCCCUUGGAUCGAUAAUCCAGAAUUUGAAGAUGAUCCUGAUCUCUAUGUGUUGAAGCCUAUCAAAUAUGUUGGAAUCGAAGUUUGGCAGGUGAAGGCAGGUUCUCUAUUUGACAACAUACUGAUAUGUGAUGACCCUGAUUAUGCAAAGAAAGUGAUUGAGGAAGUCUUUGCUAAUAGGGAGACUGAAAAGGAGGCUUUUGAGGAGGCAGAGAAAGUGAGAAAAGCAAAAGAGGAAGAGGAAGCUCAAAGAUCAAGAGAGGAAGGUGAACGGAGGAGACGAGAAAGGGGUAGGGACAGACACCGGGACAGAUACAAGAGGCGCUACCACCAUGAUUAUAUGUAUGACGAUCAUGAUGAACUUUAAUUUGGUGUUAAGACCAUAUACUACAUUUCCAGCAUGGACGCACAUACAUUUGGGGUUUAUUGUGUUCCUCUUGUUGUAUUUUGAUCUUAUUGUAGCUGUAAUUUUGCAAAAUGCUCAGGCGUCCGAUAAGAAGUGCAUAUGCCUCUAAAACUAUUAACUAUAUUUGAAAAUUGAGUGUCAGCUUUGGCUACCCAGAGUGAUUUUGAAAUAUGUUUCAG
RNAcentral lists this unclassified non-coding RNA (1597 nucleotides) under Hevea brasiliensis (rubber tree). Lineage: Eukaryota; Viridiplantae; Streptophyta; Magnoliopsida; Malpighiales; Euphorbiaceae. The record is from RNAcentral.